RNAcentral lists this ribosomal RNA (780 nucleotides) under uncultured Neocallimastigales. Its description in RNAcentral is "partial large subunit ribosomal RNA". It matches the Rfam family "Eukaryotic large subunit ribosomal RNA", at positions 23 to 647 of the family's 3401-position model. Lineage: Eukaryota; Fungi; Neocallimastigomycota; Neocallimastigomycetes; Neocallimastigales. The record is from RNAcentral.
AUAGAGACUCAGAGCUGCAUAUCAAUAAGCGGAGGAAAAGAAACUAACAAGGAUUCCCCUUAGUAACGGCGAGUGAAGCGGGAAGAGCUCAAAUUUGAAAUCUUCAAGGGUUUACCUUUACGAAUUGUAGUUUAAAGAAGUGUUUUCUGUUGGAGUUUUGGUAAAAGUUCUUUGGAAUAGGACAUCAUAGAGGGUGAGAAUCCCGUAUUUGACCAGUUACUUUCCAGCUGUGUGAUACACUUUCAAAGAGUCGGAUUGUUUGGGAAUGUCAGUCCAAGAUGAGUGGUAAAUUUCAUCUAAAGCUAAAUAUUGGCGAGAGACCGAUAGCGAACAAGUACCGUGAGGGAAAGAUGAAAAGAACUUUGAAAAGAGAGUUAAACAGUACGUGAAAUUGUCAAAAGGGAAGCGUUUGACACCAGUGUUGUUUUUCCGAAAAUCAAUUAAGAAUGUUUUAUUUUUGAGGAGUUAUGACUUCAUCGGCUUGCUUCCUCUCUUUAUGAAACUUUCUUAAUGCACUUUUCGGUUAACAAGUCAACAUCAAUUUCUUUUGUUGUAAAAGGGUAUGAGGAAGGUGGCUUUCUUUUCGGAGAAAGUGUUUAUAGCCUUGUACCUCUGCAAUCGGAGAGAUUGAGGUCUGCAGCGUAGAUCCUUCGGGGUUAGAUACAUUUGUGCUAAGUUAUAGCUUUUCAUAGACAACUUGUUGACUAUGAUUUAGUCUUGUAGCUUACUCGCUGAUGCUAUUUUACCUACGCUUAGGAUGUUGACGAGACUGUCGAUCUC